CAGGAGCUGGUCAAUGUCAUUACCCCUGAACUUGGAUAUGGGAAUACCGGUGCAGA
This 56-nucleotide non-coding RNA is filed under the name unclassified sequences. Its description in RNAcentral is "Transposase-1 RNA". It matches the Rfam family "Transposase-1 RNA". Rfam says of the family: Lactobacillales (Firmicutes). Environment (Human Microbiome Project, vagina) The record is from Rfam by way of RNAcentral.